CAGUAGCCGCGGGAAUACGAAGGGUGCAAGCGUUACUCGGAAUUACUGGGCGUAAAGCGUGCGUAGGUGGUGGUUUAAGUCCGUUGUGAAAGCCCUGGCUCAACCUGGGAAUUGCAGUGGAUACUGGGUCACUAGAGUGUGGUAGAGGAUAGUGGAAUUUCCGGUGUAGCAGUGAAAUGCGUAGAGAUCGGAAGGAACAUCUGUGGCGAAGGCGACUAUCUGGGCCAACACUGACACUGAGGCACGAAAGCGUGGGGAGCAAACAGGAUUAGAUACCCCCGUAGUCCCUGUCUCUUAUACA
This 301-nucleotide ribosomal RNA is filed under the name uncultured bacterium. RNAcentral describes it as "partial 16S ribosomal RNA". It matches the Rfam family "Bacterial small subunit ribosomal RNA", at positions 509 to 808 of the family's 1533-position model. The record is from RNAcentral.